Molecule: non-coding RNA, 3068 nt
Organism: Rhopilema esculentum
Lineage: Eukaryota; Metazoa; Cnidaria; Scyphozoa; Rhizostomeae; Rhizostomatidae
Source: RefSeq, a predicted model, not a curated record
UGUCUUCAAACAUAGUACUAUUCAUACUUUGUUCAAGUGAAUAAAAACUCAGAAAAAUUCAGCUGUAUUCCCUUUUUUCUAGGGUGAUUGGAUUAAACCAGGUGCUGUUGUUAUUGACUGUGGUAUAACAGCAAUACCAGAUGCAACCAAGAAAAGUGGUCAAAGACUGGUUGGUGAUGUAGACUACAAUGAAUGCAAGAAAGCAGCUGGAUGGAUAACACCUGUUCCAGGAGGCGUUGGUCCAAUGACAGUUGCUAUGUUGCUAGCAAAUACUGUUGAAAGUUGCAAAAGAUAUGCCGCUCAUUCAGCUCCACAAAAGGUAACAUAUGUUUAUCUCUAGGUUGAGCAUUGUAAUAAUCAACAAUAUAAUCUGAUGAGUUGACAAGACAUAAUUAGACUUGAUUUUGAAUAAACAUUUUCCAUGAUUUUAUAAAUUCUCAUGUCCUUCAAAUUAGGUUUUUAUUAGAAUGCUGGGAAGAGUAUCUUGAAAGAUAAACUACAGUUGAACAAACAUGACAAAACAACUUAUACGACCAGGAUAUAAUACUAGGCCACAUUAUGUAUUCAGCCUAAGAUUAGGGGAACUUGUUCACAGCAUGACUUAGCAAGUCUGAACUCAAAGUGUCAAUCAAUGAUACUACGAGUAAAAACACGCAAUUUUGAAAUUAUUCUUUUCCAAGUCCUUUAUUCAAAAUAUCAGCAGUGUGUUGUUCUGUAGGACAAAACUCAAGCAUGAUAUUGUUCUUUUCAAUUGCUUCUCUGAUAUAAUGAUACCUUAUAUAAAUGUGUUUUGUUUGUGCAUGGUUCUUUGUAUUAUUUGAGAGUGCUAUAGCUCCUUGAUUAUCUUCAUAGACUGUGCUUGGUUCUUGUUACACAAAACCAAUGCUUUCAAGCAGUCUCCUCAGCCAGGCUGCCUCUGGUGUAGCAGAGCAUAAAGCUAUGUACUCUGCCUCAGUUGAUGAUAAGCUAAUAACUGGUUGUUUCUUUGUUUUCUAUGAAAUAAUUCAACCACACAUUUUGAAUAAAUAGCCUGAUGUUGACUUUCUUGUUGACGAAUCACCACCCCAAUCAGCAUCAGAAUAGCCAAGUAGGCUUGAAUUCAUUUUACUGAAGGAUUCAGACCUGAGACCAUAGCUCACAGUUCCUUUUUUAUAGCGAAAUAUAUGCUUUAUUCCUUGCCAAUGCAUUUUGCUUGGGUGUGACAUAAAUUGUGAAAGAACUCCUACUGCUGCUGCUAUAUCUGGUCAAGUGACAGUUGCUGCAUACAUUUAACAGCCAGUUGCCAUUUGGUACCUUUGAACAUCAACUGGGGUCACAUUUUCAUGUAGUUUCACAAACCUCCUACCAGGCUCUAAUGGAGUUGAUACCAGCUUGCAGUUCUUCAUAUCAAACUUCUUCAAAAUACUUUCCAAAGAUUUUGAUUGUUUUAUCAUGAGUGUCUUGGCUGCUCUGUUUCUAUGAAUAUCCCCAGUAUGUAGUGUAAUUCUCCUUGGUCUACCAUAUCAAACUUUUGACUUAACAGCUUCUUUUCUGCAUUUAUCAUUGACAUUGCUGUUUGACACAACGAGAAGAUCAUCUACAUAAAGAGCAAUAAUGACAAAGUUUACUUUUCCAUCAGCUUUCUUCUCAGAUUUUAUAUAGAGAUGUGAAUCAGCAGUGCUUCAUUUGUAUCUAUUUCCUUUAGAAAUGAGUCAAUUGCAGUAUUCCAGCAGCAUGCUGCCUGCUUUAGACCAUAGAUUCCUUUAUUUAACCUGCAUAUAUGAUUUGGUUUAUCAGCAUUAACAUAACCCUCAGGCUGCUUCAUGUAGUUUUUUCUUGUCCAAAUUACCCUAAAAAUGCUGUUUUACAUCCAUUUGAUGUAUUUCUAAAUUGUUCUCGUUUGCCAAUGCAAGUAAUAAGUAUAUUGAAGAGUAUCGAAUGACAGGUGAAAAUACCUCUUGGUAAUCAAUUCCUUCAGCUUGUGAGUACCCUUAAGCUACUAAGCAAGACUUAAAGCGGUCAACAGAGCCAUCUGCAUUCCUCUUAACUUUGAAUACCCACUUGCUCCCAACAAUAUUCUUUCCUUUUGGAAUUGGAACUAAGCCCCAUGUUUUGUUUUUAAUUAAUGAUGAGUAUUCUGCAUCAGUUGCUUCUUUCCAUUCACUAGCAUGUUCUCCAGUCCAUGCAUCCUGGAUCUUUUUUGGGUCAUCAUUUUCGUCUGCUAGAAUAUCAGCACUGAAACAGUUUUUAUUUUCUUCAUUGACUUGCUCAGCCAGCUUAGCAGAAGAACGUUUUCUUGCACCUUGCAAGUUUGCAACUUCUAAAGUUCUCAUCAUAUGUUUCUCCCACUGGCAAGAUAUUGUGGUUGACUUCAUGAUUCACUUCUUCUAUAACAUUUCCAUCAACGUCUGAACUAAUUUCACCAUCAAACUCAAUACAUAUAUGAUCAGAUUUUGAUAAGACAGUUGUAUCAAAGUCAUGAAAGUCUCUCUCUGAGAAGAUAACAUCACGACUGCAAAUGAAAUGUUUAGCUUGAAGAUCAUAAAGGUUAUACCCCUUUGGGUAGCCAACGAAUAUAGCUUGUUUUGAUUUAGCAUCAAAUUUAUGACGAUAUUUAUCAGCAAUGUGCACAUUAGCUAUGCAACCAAAUACUUUGAGAUUUGACACAUUUGGCUUUACACCAUACCAGCAUUCAAAUGGUGUCUGCUUAUUAAGUGCAACUCUUGGGCUGCGGUUUCUCAAAAAUACACCUGUGCUAACUGCUUCUGCCCAAAAUGAAGUUGGUAGUUUAGCAUGAUGUAACAUAGAUUGGGUGCUCUCACAAUUGUCCUCUUCAUGCGCUCCACAACACCAUUUUGCUCUGGAUUCAUUGGAGUUGUUCUUUGAUGUAGUAUUCCUUUUUCUUUCAUGUAGUCUAUGAAUUCUUUUGAGCAAUAUUCACCACCAUUAUCGGUACCAAGUAUCUUGUCUUGAUUCUUUGAACUUUUCUAGAACUUCACUUUUGUGCCUAAGGAAAUAAACUUGUGUAUACCGAGACGCAUCAUUGAUAAAUUUUACGAAGUACUUUGACUUCCCAAUCGAUUUCGCGU